This 85-nucleotide transfer RNA is filed under the name Felis catus (domestic cat). It matches the Rfam family "tRNA". Rfam says of the family: Transfer RNA (tRNA) molecules are approximately 80 nucleotides in length. Their secondary structure includes four short double-helical elements and three loops (D, anti-codon, and T loops). Further hydrogen bonds mediate the characteristic L-shaped molecular structure. tRNAs have two regions of fundamental functional importance: the anti-codon, which is responsible for specific mRNA codon recognition, and the 3' end, to which the tRNAs corresponding amino acid is attached (by aminoacyl-tRNA synthetases). tRNAs cope with the degeneracy of the genetic code in two manners: having more than one tRNA (with a specific anti-codon) for a particular amino acid; and 'wobble' base-pairing, i.e. permitting non-standard base-pairing at the 3rd anti-codon position. Lineage: Eukaryota; Metazoa; Chordata; Mammalia; Carnivora; Felidae. The record is from Rfam by way of RNAcentral.
GCCUGGGUGGCUCAAUUGGUUAAGCACCUGACUUUGGCUCAGGUCAUGAUCUCAUGGUUUGUGGGUUUGAGCCCCGUGUUGGGCU